GAAGCGGUAAAAGCUCAAAUUUGAAAUCUGGUACUUUCAGUGCCCGAGUUGUAAUUUGUAGAAUUUGUCUUUGAUUAGGUCCUUGUCUAUGUUCCUUGGAACAGGACGUCAUAGAGGGUGAGAAUCCCGUUUGGCGAGGAUACCUUUUCUCUGUAAGACUUUUUCGAAGAGUCGAGUUGUUUGGGAAUGCAGCUCAAAGUGGGUGGUAAAUUCCAUCUAAAGCUAAAUAUUGGCGAGAGACCGAUAGCGAACAAGUACAGUGAUGGAAAGAUGAAAAGAACUUUGAAAAGAGAGUGAAAAAGUACGUGAAAUUGUUGAAAGGGAAGGGCAUUUGAUCAGACAUGGUGUUUUUUGCAUGCACUCGCCUCUCGUGGGCUUGGGCCUCUCAAAAAUUUCACUGGGCCAACAUCAGUUCUGGCAGCAGGAUAAAUCAUUAAGAAUGUAGCUACCUCGGUAGUGUUAUAGCUUAUUGGAAUACUGCUAGCUGGGAUUGAGGACUGCGCUUCGGCAAGGAUGUUGGCAUAAUGGUUAAAUGCCGC
This 539-nucleotide ribosomal RNA is filed under the name Hanseniaspora guilliermondii. RNAcentral describes it as "partial large subunit ribosomal RNA". It matches the Rfam family "Eukaryotic large subunit ribosomal RNA", at positions 95 to 648 of the family's 3401-position model. The record is from RNAcentral. Lineage: Eukaryota; Fungi; Ascomycota; Saccharomycetes; Saccharomycodales; Saccharomycodaceae.